RNAcentral lists this ribosomal RNA (494 nucleotides) under uncultured bacterium. RNAcentral describes it as "partial 16S ribosomal RNA". It matches the Rfam family "Bacterial small subunit ribosomal RNA", at positions 28 to 507 of the family's 1533-position model. The record is from RNAcentral.
GACGAACGCUGGCGGCGUGCUUAACACAUGCAAGUCGAACGGAAAGGCCUGCUUUCCCUUGUGGAUUGCGGGUACUCGAGUGGCGAACGGGUGAGUAACACGUGAGUGAUCUGCCCCCAACUUGGGUAUAAGCCUGGGAAACUGGGUCUAAUUCCCGAUAGGACUGCAGGGUGGUGCCUGUGGUGGAAAACGAUUUUCUAGUGGUUGGGGAUGAGCUCGCGGCCUAUCAGCUUGUUGGUGGGGUAAUGGCCUACCAAGGCGGCGACGGGUAGCCGGCCUGAGAGGGUGGACGGCCACAUUGAGACUGAGAUACGGCCCAGACUGCUGCGGGAGGCAGCAGUGGGGAAUAUUGCACAAUGGGCGGAAGCCUGAUGCAGCGACGCCGCGUGGGGGAUGACGGCCUUCGGGUUGUAAACUCCUUUCGACCGCGAGGAAGCCACCUGGUUGGAAGGGUGGUGACGGUAGUGGUAGAAGAAGCACCGGCUAACUACGUG